AUUGAACGCUGGCGGCAGGCUUAACACAUGCAAGUCGAGCGAGCGGCGGACGGGUGAGUAAUGUCUGGGGAACUGCCUGAUGGAGGGGGAUAACUACUGGAAACGGUAGCUAAUACCGCAUACCAUCGGAUGUGCCCAGAUGGGAUUAGCUAGUAGGUGGGGUAAAGGCUCACCUAGGCGACGAUCCCUAGCUGGUCUGAGAGGAUGACCAGCCACACGGGGACUGAGACACGGUCCAGACGCCUACGGGAGGCAGCAGUGGGGAAUAUUGCACAAGGGGCGCAAGCCUGAUGCAGCCAUGCCGCGUGUAUGAAGAAGGCCUUCGGGUUGUAAAGUACUUUCAGUGGGGAGGCGUUACCGGCAGAAGAAGCACCGGCUAACUCCGUGCCAGCAGCCGCGGUAAUUC
This 406-nucleotide ribosomal RNA is filed under the name uncultured bacterium. RNAcentral describes it as "partial 16S ribosomal RNA". It matches the Rfam family "Bacterial small subunit ribosomal RNA", at positions 29 to 526 of the family's 1533-position model. The record is from RNAcentral.